RNAcentral lists this ribosomal RNA (411 nucleotides) under Amblyomma latepunctatum. RNAcentral's name for it is "partial 16S ribosomal RNA". The record is from RNAcentral. Lineage: Eukaryota; Metazoa; Arthropoda; Arachnida; Ixodida; Ixodidae.
UUGCUGUAGUAUUUUGACUAUACAAAGGUAUUGUAAUAAGACUUUAAUUGAGUGCUAAGAGAAUGGAAUUACAAGAAAUUUCUUUAUUAAAUUUAAAAAUUGAAGUUAUUUUUUUUGUGAAGAAUCAAAAAUAUUUAUUAAGGACAAGAAGACCCUAAGAAUUUUAAAGUAUAUAAGUUAAAAUUUUAACUUAUAUACUUUUGAUUGGGGCGAUUAAUUAAUAUUAAAAACUUAAUUUUUAAAAAAUAUGAACCAUUAAUAAUGGUAUUAUGAAAAAAAUACUCUAGGGAUAACAGCGUAAUAAUUUUUGAUAGUUCUUAUAGACAAAAUAGUUUGCGACCUCGAUGUUGGAUUAGGAUUAUUUUUUAAUGAAGAAGUUAAAAAAAUAAGUUUGUUCAACUUUUAAAUUCC